RNAcentral lists this long non-coding RNA (16433 nucleotides) under Gossypium raimondii (Peruvian cotton). RNAcentral's name for it is "long non-coding RNA (GRAI_LNC002436)". The record is from RNAcentral. Lineage: Eukaryota; Viridiplantae; Streptophyta; Magnoliopsida; Malvales; Malvaceae.
UAAAUUAAGCACCUUCAAUGAUUCCAUAUUAUGCAACUCCCUAGGAACAUCAUCAAGUCUUGAACAACCAGAUAAGAUAAGCUCUUCAAGUGAUAUUAAUGAACCAAUUGUCCUUGGAAGUUUCCUAAGACUUGUGCAAUCUUUAAGGUUCAAGAAAGUAAGCAUCUUUAACUCACCAAUGGAUUGAUCAAUUUCCACCAAAUUUAUGCAAUAUUUGAGCAUCAACUUCUCAAGGCUAGGGAGUCCUGAAAAGCUUGGGGUUUUAAGAAGGCUAUGUGAAUGGUUGAGAUUAAGGAUCUUUAAAUUUGGGAGGCACUGCAAAAAAAGAAAGCCCUUCAUUAAUUAUAUAUUAUUGUUUCACACACACACAAAAAGGAGUAUUAGUAUAUAUCAUACCUCUGUAUCCUUCCAAACUUGUUUAAGUUUACUGUUGCGCAUGUCGAGAACAACUAGUUCAUUGAUAUCAAAAUCCACCGGAAAAGAUUGCAUCCAAAACCCAUGCCAACGUAACCAUCUUAAUCUUUUGGGAAAGUCUUUGAAGUCUCCUUAAGUCUUACAUAAUCCAGUUGAAGCAGUUUAAGUCUCUUCAUCUUUGCAAAUGCUUGAGUUUCCAUAUCAACAUCAUUUGCCAUCAGAAACUGACUUUUGGAAUGCUUUGGAAAAUGUAGAGUUGUAUUUGUCCUUUUAGCCUUGUCUUCUAGCAAUCUUUUUAGGUCAAGUGUGAGGCACUUAACUGUUCUGGAACCCUGCAUCAGAAAAACUUUUUUAAAAAAUAAAAAGAAAUUUGAUAAAAAAAAAGUAGAUUACAUGCACACAAGAAAAAAGUUGAGUAAAAUGAUGUUUCUUACAAUUUUUUCUCUUAUUACAUCAAAGGCGUUCUUAUGCCACAAUCUGCUUCGUUUCCCAAUAUUAGAAGAUUCUUGACGAAUAAUUUCUCGUCCCAUAUCUCUAAUCAUUUGGUGCAUCAUUAGCUUGUUUUUUUCAUUAAUGAUUAAGAGAGACCUGCCUACUAGAUUUUCAAUUCCAAUUGUUGUAUAGAAAUCACAACCAUCUAGAAUUGUAGUCGUGUAAUCUCUAUCCUUCCCAAUGAAUAAACAAACUAUGUCGAGGAAUAAAUUUUUAUCAUGAUCGUCUUCCAAAGAAUCAUAGCUUAUUCUUAGAAUCUCUUGAAUUUUGCUGUCAGGGAUUUCUUCCAAUUUCUCCAAUGCACUUUUCCAAGAACUCACACUUUUGCUAGAUAAUGAAGAGCCCAAAACUUGAAGAGCUAACGGAAGCCCACCACAGUGUUUCACUAAACUUCUUGCAUAUGCCAUUAAACUUUCAGGCACAGAGUUAUGACCAAAAGCAUACCAAUUAAAAAGUUGCAGCGAUUCACUUGAUGCUAAUUCUUUUACUUCAAAUAGCUUGCUUAAGCCUCCACAACUAGUUGAUGCUUCCAACUCAAACAUUUGGCUUAUAAAAUGUGCAUUCAAUAGGCAUCGGUUUCUACUAGUUAUGAUGAUUUUACUUCCCAAAUGAAAAGGUAUUUGAGUUCCCAUUAAUUUUCUUAUUUUUUCCAAUUCAUCAACAUCAUCAAGAACAAGAAGAACUCUUCUACAACAUACAAUUUCUUUGAUCUUGUUAAUUCCAUUAUCUAUAUUGUAUAUUUUAUAGUGUAUUUCCUUUAAGGAUAUCUGAAAUAAGUUGCCUUUGCAAACGGACUAAACCAUUGCAAUCUGGACUUGUUUCUCUAACAUCAGCAAGGAAACUAUAACCUUCAAACCUCGGGAUGUUUUGAUUGUAAACAACUUUGGCAAUGGUUGUCUUCCCAAUGCCGCCAAUGCCACAAAUAGUUGCAAUGCCAACUUUAUUUGCUCCAUCUUGUUCUAACCAUUGAUUAAUUUGUGUCACGAGAGAAUCUAUUCCAACUAAAUAAGGAGGGACAUACAAAGAAAUAAGAUGAAGUUUAUUUUGAACUUCUUUAACAAUAUCUUGAAUGAAUUGUGAUUCAUGCCUGCAAAUUUAAAAAAUACAACUCAAUGGUAAAAUUUUAGAAAUUAAGUAAAAGUUACUAAUGCAUUUUCUCUUUUCUUGCAUAUAUUUUGAUUGUUUUUAUGAGAUUAUAUGUUCAAAUAAAAAUAAGAAACUAAUGCAACAUUUCAACAUAUAUGAUAGAAUUAUUGCAUUCAAAAUCAAAUCAAAUCAAAUAAAGCAACAUAAAAAUUAAUGAAAUUCAUUUGAGAAACAACCUAUACUCUAAAUUUCAACUUUCUCUUUGUGAAAGUUUAAUAACAUGAAUUUAUAUAUUUAUUUUUUAUUCAUUGUAAUAUUUUGAAUAUGUGUAGACCCAUUACACGAAUAACUUAGAUAUAAUUGUUGCAAAUAUACUACUGCAAAAUAGAAUUGUUACAAGAGACCAAACUGAAUGUCAAUAAAAUAAGAAUCAUUGUGUCGUGAAAGAAUCACUGCAUUAGAGGCAAAUUCGCCUUGAUCGGUGUAAUCGUAUAGUGGACGUUACCCCCCAACAAAAUACUCCAAUAUUCGUACACCCGAAGGUGGAACAUGAUUAACAUUACUUUUCCCAAAAAAAAAGUUCAAUUCCCAAGAAAGAUUAAGGAGGUCACAAACAGUCUCGCUUAAAACCUAAUCUCUUAGACAAAAUUUCCCUCUCGUGUAAUUUUGCAGAACACUAGAAUUUAGAGAACAUAGAGAAGUUGUUUUUCUCUUGUUGUGUUAGGUGGGAGAAUGACCUCCUAUUUAUACUGUUUUUUGAUGGGCAAAAUGGUAAAAUAAUAGUUUUAAUUUCCAAAAAUAGUAAAUGAUUUUCCUAACUGAAAAUAUUCUAAAAAUAUUUUCUGCAACGAUUUUCUGCAAUUCAAAAUAUUCUUUUGCAUUAUCAACAAUGACAUCUUAGAAAACCACAAAUAGUGUCAUUAAAUUCAAGAGGCUAUUUCUUUUUGUUUUCAACUCGUCAAAUCCAAGUUGUUCAUGUGAUUUAAAAACAUCCCACAUUAGAUUCGAGCUAAUAUUUAAUGCUUAAGCUGAUGACUUGUUUGAUAGAAAGACCAUAUUCAUACAAUACUAAUAUUUUAAUGACUCAAUUAAAACAUGUUAAUGUUUCUGAGUUAUAAUUAACCCUUUAAAAUGGAUUGAUGUAACCAUUUUAAUUUCCAAACGCUACCUAACAAUAUUUUCUAUUAAUUUUAUUUCUACUCUAUCAAGUCUUAAUGAAAAGGAUUGAAGUAACCAUAUGGAAUUGGAUUAUGUGUAUAACGUACCUGUCUUGCAGAACCAUGCCUCCUAUAUCCGCAACUUCUUUUAAAGCAUUUCUCCAUCUUUGUACCAUGUUGGUUUCGGACUCGAAGUUUUGUUCAUGUUGGGUAAAUGCUUCUGCAUAACUUCCCGUCUGAUUCUUGACUUGACUCGGAUCCACAUCAUAGAAAACUGGCAACACACUAUGUUUAGAGGAUUUCUUGUGCUCCAAUAUCAUUACAAGUUCGUUAAGACACCAUGUGGAUGCAGCAUAAUUCUUUGAGAAAACAACGAUAGAAAUUUUGGAGUGAUGUAGUAUUGCUUUUUCAAUUUCAUCUUUUAUGUUAUUCCCUCUCUCGAUUUCCUCAUCAUCUCUAAAUGUUUGAAUUCCUAAGUGCACCAAAGCUGUGUAAAGAUGAUCCGUGAAACUUUUGCGCGUAUCUUCACCUCUAAAACUCAAGAAUACAUGAUAACUACAUCGCGAGAUUUCUGACAUUGCCAUUGAAGAAGAAAAUGAAGCCGUCCUGUANNNNNNNNNNNNNNNNNNNNNNNNNNNNNNNNNNNNNNNNNNNNNNNNNNNNNNNNNNNNNNNNNNNNNNNNNNNNNNNNNNNNNNNNNNNNNNNNNNNNCAAAGCAGAUAUUAUUAGCAGUCAAGUGGCAGUUCCCAAUCCAUGGUGGGUCAAUCCUUCCACCAGUUCAUACAACUGCCCGAAGAAAUUCAUGUCGGCCGUGUUGUUUUUUUCCAAAUCUACCAACUUGGGUUACGUAUUCUAUAUUAUUAAUUUUGCUUGACAAAUACAAUCUAUUGAUUAACUUGAUGGUUAUAGCUAACACAACACGUAAUAUAGACAUCAUCUUCAGGCUAAUAUUAGUAAAAAUACUAUGAAGGUUGUUGUAUUUUAAGUCAUACUAUAUUUUGUUUCCUCUACUUAAAAAAUAAUAAAUUAGUUAUUGUAUAUUAGAUUAGAAAGUAAACUAGUUCUUUUGUUAAAAAAUUUAUCCAUUGUUAUUGUUAAAAAUUAGUCCAUGUAAUAAACAUGAGGUACAUGUGACACGUCACAUGCAACUAUCUAAUUAUUUCGUCAUUCACGUUAGUUUUUAACAACAAAAAUGGAUGAAACUUUUAAUAAAAAUGAUAAAUUUAUUCUUUUAUCUAUGUAUAUGGACUAAUUUGCUUGUUUUUAAAUAAAAUGGGUUAAAUACAAUUUGACUCUCAAUAGAAUGAUCUCCAUGAUACUUUUACCGGCUAAUACCUUGGUGGAUACACUCAAUAAUUAAACCACAACCACAAUAUAUCACAUAGACAUCACAUUAAACAUUCAAGUUCAGUAUAGUAAAGAAACAAUUUUAGUAUCUAUGCAUGAAUGAAGAAUUAAUUGUUUUAGAAAAAGAAUUGGUGAUUAAAUUGAUCAGGUCGUCAAUUUUUUAUUUGAUUUAUUCGUGUUAUCUAAAGUAAAUAAAUUUUUAAAAAUUAAAAAAUAAUAAAAAUUCACGUAUAUUGCACGUUAAAGUAAAUUGAAAAUGAGAAUUGAGAGGGACAUAAGAGAAGGAGAAUAAUUCCGAAGUCAUGCUUAAGGAAAUUAGUGGCACUAGAAAACGCGUUUCAAUCGCUUUUCAUUUCGGAGUCAUGCUUACGGUCCAUUUGGUGCUCACCAUUUUUAUUAAAAAUAUUAUCUGAAUAGAGUUUUUCAACAGAGGUAGUAGAAAGGAAGGAAAACGUCAAAGUUGUACACUUUAAAAAAAUUAUAUUAUCAGACCUUAAACAAUGAUUUGUCGGCCUUAAAUUAGCAAUUAAAGAGGAUGGGAUAAGGGUAAGGUUGAGUAAUUGAUUCAAAAUUUCAUGCUGAGGGCAACUAGCACAAAAUUGUUUAAAUAUUUUCCAGUACUCAUUAAGGAUCUUCAUAUCCUUUUUGUGGUAUGGCAUAGAUUUCUUUCCUAAUUGAAGCACAAAGUGAAGAAAAAGAAAAUUCAACGAAUAUUCUUACCAUAUCUAUUUUAAAAUUUUAAUAUAAUUAAUGAAAAACAAUUCACAUAUAUGAAUCAUCAAAUUUGAGGUGCUUAGAGAAUCCCAUGUGAUGGCCUGAUGAUUAAGGUUGUUCAAAAUACAUGAAUGAUAAAAUUUAACGUGAUUAAAUAAAUAUUGAAUUUUGUUAUAUUUUUAAUAAUAAAUAUAGGUAAAAUGGUAAUAAAUUGGUAUUUUAAUGCCAUUAAAAACGUGUCAGAUAAAUAUUAGAUUAGAUAUUCAAUAUUAAUAAUCAAUAUAUAUUAAUUGAAUUAUACAUUAUAAUUAAGGAUGAGUGUCGAAAUUCAAAAUUGUAAAUAUUAAUAUAUAUUGAAUUAAAUUACUACCAUACAUAAUCUUAUUCAAAUAAUAAUAAUGAAAAAAAUGAGUGUUUAAGACAAUUUCGUUGUAUUUGUUUGUUCUAUGAUCCAACUAUAGUAGGUAAGCGUGGUGUAGGUUCAUCGUACUCCCAUCCAAUGGCUUUAAUUUGCUCUAAUGGAAUCGAAAAUGAAUCAAUCCUUUUAACUUCUUCUUCCUCUUCAUCAUCGAAAAUUGACUUUAUUUCCAAAAAAAAGUUUUGGAUCAAUUUUGGAGUUCCAAUCAAUAUCAUCUAUAUACAUAUCUGUUGCAUUACUUGGCAACUUAUUUGUGCAACGAAAACGAUGAUAACAUUCCCAGAAUCUAUGUUUGGCUUUCUAAAAAGCUUUUAAACCAGCUGAAUCAUCCCAUCAGAAUACUUUAUCGGUUUUCAACAAAUUAUUCUUUGAUUCAACAAAUCUUUUCCAUGGUAUUGCACCCACUUUUAUGCAGAAUUUUUUCUCCCAUGCUGGUAAUGGUUCCCAUGAAUUAUUGUUAUCAUUCGGUUUGGGACGAGUAAAUUUCUUUUUUUUAGUAACUUUGUUGGCGAUUAUGAUAUCUUCUUUGAUAGUAUGACACGAUUUCUUGUAAUCCAAACAAAUAAAGGAAUUGAAAUCGCUAAUGAUAUGGAUUUACAGCGAGGGGACUUGUUGGGUUUAUAUAUAAGAUUAUUAGAGUUGGUGGUGACUCAAUCCUUUUCCAACAAUUCUAAUUUCAGUUUGAUUAUUGAUGGGUGUCGAAUCCACCAAUAUAAACCUACACCUAAUUUUGCAAAUUUAAACAGUAUAAGGAGUAGGGUCGAUCCCUCAGAGACUGGGUUUACUGCAAAUUGUUGCUCUCUUGACCAGAUUUAUGUCGGGGCAGUUGUCGUGCCCAAGAAAUUUGGGGGAAGGAUAAAAUCGAAAACCUGGAACCUGAAAUAAAUAAAUAAAUAAAAUGAGUAAAAAGUAAAAGCUGCAAAUAAAUAAUAAAAGGCAGUUAAAUAAAUCUGAAGAAAAAUUAAUUAAAAUAAGCUCAGCUUUAGGCACGGAUUUUUCCUCGUCUUUGAACCAAUCCUCGAAAUUAGAUGAACUCCUCUUUUCCAAUAAGCUAGUUAUAGCUACCAAGGACGCCUCGGACACCAACUCUUCCUUGUGUAAAUUAGUUAUGGAACGUCCAAUAACUAACCCUUACCAAUCGAACAACCACGAAACGUUCGUGAUUUAGAACUUCUGCAGCUUUGCGUUCUAGAAGAGCCUAGCUCGAACCAAUGCCCUCAACCGCGUGGGNNNNNNNNNNNNNNNNNNNNNNNNNNNNNNNNNNNNNNNNNNNNNNNNNNNNNNNNNNNNNNNNNNNNNNNNNNNNNNNNNNNNNNNNNNNNNNNNNNNNNNNNNNNNNNNNNNNNNNNNNNNNNNNNNNNNNNNNNNNNNNNNNNNNNNNNNNNNNNNNNNGAUCUGACUUUGUGAGUUGACAAAAUCAUACUCUUAAUCCGAAGAAAUAAUAAGUACUGGAAUUUAGGGUGUGUAACUCACGGGUUUUGACGAGGCUAAUUCCGGCCUAAAGCUGAAAUGGAUACUUAAUAAAAAAAACUUGGUAAUAAAAAACUUGAUUAAUAACUUGAUUCAAGACUUGAUGAUAAAAUGAACAAAGUAGUCCACUAUUUAUACUAGUGGCUUUGCUAAAUUAAGAGCCAACUAGUAUAGAAAAUCAAGGAAUAAAAUAUUAAAAAUCCCUACAUAAUCUCCCACUAAGUCAACAAAAAUUUCAGCUAAUUAAUCUUGGAAAAAUUCUACUUUGGUCCUCCUUCUUUGCUUCUUUCUUCAAUCUAGCCCAAUUGUCUCAUUUUUCUUCUAUUUAGCCCCAAAUUGCACUCCUACACAAAAUUCAACAAAAACAUGGAAAAAUUAGUGUUGCACUCUCAUAAAUUAACCAAUUUAAUUACAUAAAAUAUGUAACUUUAGCAUUUAAACAAAUCCCCCUACUUAGCUUAUGCUAGUCCUCGAGCAUUUUGUAUGUAUCUACAAAAAGAAAAAAAAUUUCUCCAAAAUAGGGCUUGACCACCAUGAUUUGCACAAUUCAACAAUUUAAUCCUAGCACAUUAACAUCUCAAAUAACCUAGCCUAAGAAGUAAGUAAAUAUAUUUCAGAAUUUAUUAGAGCUUGAUAGACCUACCCCUAAUUUAUUUUUAUUUAUAAUAAUAAUAAUAAUUUUUUGUGUACUUAGGACAUUUUCGAAUUUUUUUUACGCGAGACAAGAUGACAACCCAAGCACCAUGUUCUGGUUACUCGAUUCGGAUGUCUCUAAGCGGGUUAUUUCGCCCUACUCGUGAUAGCUUGUUAACGGAGUGAGUGCAAAGAAAUUAUAUAGUCACACUUUGCGCGAGAUGUGAUGACAACCCAAGCACCACAUUCCGGUUACUCAGCCUGAUGUACAACCCCAAUAUUUCACUCUUAACAUUCGUAUCAGAUGAGUAUUUAUUCAUUUCUUCUUUUUUUCUCUUUUUUUUCUCUCUUUGUUUUUUUAAAGAAGAGAAGGAAAAAAAUUGAGAUGUGAUAUGAGGUAGGCAGUCAAGCAAACUCAUAAUUCCUAAAAAAAAAAAUCUUUCCCACUACGUCUAGCCUAUUGAAAAGUUUGUGUAAAGAACUAAAUAGCUAAAUAGGUCAAACCAUAAGUGUACCAUCCUAAUUUAUCAAAAGAAAAAUUUUACCUUUCACGAAAAAUAUGCAAAAACAACGACAACGAAUAAGCAAAAUAGAACUAAUAUAUGUUCCCUUCCCCCUACUUAUUUUAUAUUGUCCCUAAUGUAAUUUGAAUUGAAUUAAAUGAUAAAAAGUAAAGGUAAGUAGGGAAAGGAAAAAGAAACUCUCGAUGUAUUUCAACGUCGUGGAGGGUUGCCUAGUAGGUGUGUCCACGGUGUUAAAUGGUGGGUAGGUGGAUUGGGCCUUUGCUGAAAUUAAAAGAAUUUUGUAGGCUGACAUGGGGGAUUUAAUUUUGUCUUGGAAUGUCUCCCUGUUAUUCAAAUUUUGGGCUCCUCGAGAACAAUUGUAAGUGUUGCUAGUCCCCGGCAACGUCGCCAAAGCUGAUGGGUGUCGAGUCCACCAAUAUAAACCUACAUCUAAUUUUGAAAAUUCAAGCAGUAUAGGGAGUAGGGUCGAUCCCUCGAGACUGGGUUUACUGCAAAUUGUUGCUCUCUUGACCAGAUUUAUGUCGGGGCAGUUGUCGGGCCCAAGAAAUUUGGGGGAAGGAUAAAAUCGAAAACUUGGAACCUGAAAUAAAUAAAUAAAAUGCGUAAAAAGUAAAAGCUGCAAAUAAAUAAUAAAAGGCAAUUAAAUAAAUCUGAAGAAAAAUUAAUUAAAAUAAGCUCAGCUUUAGGCAUGGAUUUUUCCUCGUCUUUGAACCGAUCCUCAAAAUUAGAUGAACUCCUCUUUUCCAAUAAGCUAGUUAUAGCUACCAAGGACGCCUUGGACACCAACUCUUCCUUGUGUAAAUUAGUUAUGGAGCGUCCAAUAACUAACCCUUACCGAUCGAACAACCACGAAAUGUUUCGUGAUUUAGAACUCCUGCAGCUUUGCGUUCUAGAAGAGCCUAGCUCGAACCAAUGCCCUCAACCGCGUGGGACAUUUAAAUCCAGUUACUACUUCCCUUGACGGAACCAAACAGCAAUCUCCACUUGGCACGCCAAUGUGUUCACAGAAAACCGAUUGGAAACGUUCCUUUCGGAAUUCCAACUGUACGUCUAACCACACUAAAUCAAACGACGUCUUUUUUGACUUAAUGUUGAUCUGACUUUGUGAGUUGACAAAAUCAUACUCUUAAUCCGAAGAAAUAAUAAGUACUGGAAUUUAGGGUGUGUAACUCACGGGUUUUGUCGAGGCUAAUUCCGGCCUAAAGCUGAAAUGGAUACUUAAUAAAAAAAACUUGGUAAUAAAAAACUUGAUUAAUAACUUGAUUCAAGACUUGAUGAUAAAAUGAACAAAGUAGUCCACUAUUUAUACUAGUGGCUUUGCUAAAUUAAGAGCCAACUAGUAUAGAAAAUCAAGGAAUAAAAUAUUAAAAAUCCCUACAUAAUCUCCCACUAAGUCAACAAAAAUUUCAGCUAAUUAAUCUUGGAAAAAUUCUGCUUUGGUCCUCCUUCUUUGCUUCUUUCUUCAAUCUAGCCCAAUUGUCUCAUUUUUCUUCUAUUUAGCCCCAAAUUGCACUCCUACACAAAAUUCAACAAAAACAUGGAAAAAUUAGUGUUGCACUCUCAUAAAUUAACCAAUUUAAUUACAUAAAAUAUGUAACUUUAACAUUUAAUGAAUUAUGAUUUCUAUUUUCUAAAUAUUUGUAUAAUAAAAUUAUUAAAAAAUAAUUAUAUUUGUAUUGAUAAUAUUUUCUUAUUAAAUGAGUUUUAUAAGUUAAAUAGCAAUCAAACCAAGACUGGGAGACUGAACUGCAUUAGGUCUUGGGGGUGAUCCAUCGCUUCAACCACUAUCUACUAUCCACCAUCCACCAUCUACAUCCUUCCCCUAUAUAAACUCUGCAAAUAUAUAUAUAUAGAGAGAGAGAGAGAGCGACACACACACACACAAAUUAUGGAAGGCAGGAAAGUUAGAUAUCAAAUACGGUUGCAUGGUGGUUUCACAGCCGCUAUUUCAAAAUAGCUAAAGAUCUCAUUAGUUGUGUGAACAAAUUUCAUAUGUUCUUCGAAAUCCAAAGCAGAAAAAUCACAUACAGAGGCUGGGAUCAGAUAACUGAUACUCAUGUACAAAUUUAAGGGCUUCGAAUUUACCUCAUUUGAUCAGAGUCGUGGUGAGAUGCUCGUUUGGGACAAAGAUCCGUACGAAGAGAGAUGAGGGUAGGAAGGAGUUCUUAAAAAACACAAAGGGUUAAAAUCUUCUAUUAGUCCCUGUACUUUGUAAAAGUUGUGAAUUCAGUUCCUAUCUUUUAAUUUGAAUAAUUUCAGUCCCUUUACUUUUUGAAGUAGUAGUUACAUCCAUUAAGUUCAAUUACUAGUAUUGCACUACACGUAUGGUUGUAGGCUUAGUCUAUAUGCCCUAAUUGGAUCAUUCUAAGUCUCUAUACUUUUUAAAUUUUAAAAUUUUAAUCUCGAUGUAAAUGAUAGUUAUUAAUCAAUUAAUUAGAUUUUUAGUGAGUAAUAUGCGAAAAUAAAAAAAGCUAACAUGACAUUAUACAUAGGAUAAUAUGUAGAUUUGGAUUUGGAUCUUUGGGAACAUGUAGAAGAGGAUUACGAGGUCCCACCACUUCCAGCAAAUCCUACUGUGGCACAGAUUAAAGCACAAAAGGAAAAGAAAACAAGGAAAUCAAAGGCAAAAUCUUGCUUAUUUGCAGCUGUGUCUCAAAUGAUUUUUACACGAAUAAUGUCUCUGAAAUCAGCAAAGGAAAUUUAGGAUUACCUCAAGGCUGAGUAUGAAGGAGAUGAGAGGAUUCGUAGAAUGAAAGUCCAGAAUCUAAUCAGGGAUUUCGAGUUGCAGAAGAUAAAGGAGUCUGAGUCAGUGAAAGAAUAUUCUGACAGACUUCUCAGUAUUGCCAACAAGGUGAGAUUGCUUAGUUCUGAGUUGAACGACUCUAGAAUCGUAGAAAAGCUACUGGUCACUGUUCCAAAGAAGUUUGAAGCCACCAUUACUACUCUGGAGAACACCAAGGACAUGUGUCAAAGAUCUCUCUUGCAGAGCUCUUGAAUGCUUUACAAGCACAAGAGCAAAGAAGAUCCAUGAGGCAAGAGGGAGUGAUAGAAGGGGCCUUACCUGUCAAGCAUCAAGACAAUAAUAGGUAUAAAAAGAAGAAAAAUUUUAAGAACCAGUCGACGAGCGGAGAAAAUUCAUCAGGCAAUUAUCAGAAGAGCAAAAGAGGAGGUGUCAAGAAAUCCUACCCACCUUGUCACCAUUGUGAGAAGAAAAGUCAUCCACCAUUCAAAUGUUGGAAAAGACCUGACGCCAAAUGCUCCAAAUGCAAUCAACUUGGACAUGAAGCAGUGAUUUGCAAGGUCAAAGGCCAGGUGCAAGAACUAGAUGCACAGGUAGCUGAUCAAUAAGAAGAAGAUCAAUUGUUCGUGGUUACUUGUUUCUCAGGCAGAGAAUCAAGUGAGAGCUGGUUGAUUGAUAGUGGGUGCACAAAUCACAUGACGUAUGACAAUGAGCUCUUCGAGGAAUUGAGAACACUGAAGUCAAAAGAGUGAGGAUUAGAAAUGGUGAGUACUUGGAAGUCAAGGGAAAAGGCAUAGUAGCUAUUACAAGCUAUGAAGGUACAAAAUUCUUUUCAGAUGUUUUGUUUUUACCUAAAAUUGAUCAAAAUCUCUUAAGUGUUGGUCAGUUGCUGCUGGAUAAAGGCUAUAAAGUGCUAUUUGAAAAUAAGCAGUGCUUGAUCAGAGAUGCUAAUGGCAGAGACUUGUUCAAUGUCAAAAUGAAAUGAAAAGUUUUGCUCUUAAUCCAAUGGAAAAGGAGCAAAUGGCUUUUAAAUCCAGAGUUAGUGCUACUGAGACUUGGCACAAGAGACUUGGGCACUUUCACCAUCAAGGAUUGCUUUAAAUGUAGUCGAAGAAGCUGGUGGAAGGACUUACAGACAUUGAUGAUGAUCUACCUCAUUGUCGAGCUUGCAAAUUUGGGAAACAACAUAGACAACCCUUUCCUAAACAAGCCUGGAGAGCCUCGAAGAAGUUACAACUUGUUCAUACUAAUCUUUGUGGUCCUCAGAGAACGCCUUCGUUAAAUGGUAGCCUCUAUUACAUAGAAUUUAUUGAUGAUAUAACAAGAAUGUGUUGGAUUUUUUUGUUGAAACAAAAAUUAGAAGUUGUUGGUGUGUUCUAGAAAUUCAAAGCUGGAGUUGAGAACGAAAGUGGAUGCAUGAUUCAGAUUUUAAGAUCUGAUAAUGGCAAGGAGUACACUUCAGAAACUUUUAAUAGUUUUUGUGAAGAGGCUGGAAUUGAGCAUCAGUUGACGGCGCCAUACACUCUACAACAAAAUGAAGUCAGUGAAAGGAGGAAUAGAUUCAUAAUGGAGAUGACUCGAUGUAUGCUUCAUGAGAAGAAUCUUCCAAAAGGAUUUUGGGGAGAAGCUGCAAACGCUGCUGUGUUCUUGCAAAAUCAGAUUUCAACAAAAGCUGUGAAGGAUCAGACGCCAUUUGAAGCUUGGUAUGGUUACAAACCCUCUUUAAAGUUUCUUAGAGUGUUUGGCUGCCUGUGUUUCACUUACAUUCCAUAGGUCAAGCAUGAUAAGCUUGACAAAAAGGCAGAAGCUGGCAUUUUUGUUGGGUAUAGCAUUGUAUCUAAAGCUUACAGAGUCUUUCAACCACACACUGGACGUGUUACUGUGAGCAGAGAUGUUUAUUUUGUUGAAAAUAAGCAAUGGAAUUGGGAAGACUCGACCAAGGUGAACCAAACUUAUAGUGUACCAAAUCGUUUUACCAUUGGCAGCAUGUUAGAAGAGCUUGAAGAUGAAGGGCAAGAUGUUUUGGCUGAUGAUGCACCUGUCAGAGGUACAAGGCUGCUCUCAGACAUUUACCAAAGAUGUAAUAUGGCUAUUUGUGAGCCUGCAGGGUAUGAUGAUGCAAAAAAACAGUCAACAUUGGAUGACUGCAAUGAAGGAGGAGCUUGCGAUGAUCGAAAAAAACAAAACUUGGAAGUUGGUUGAUCGACCUCUGGACAAAAAGAUAAUUGGAGUUUGCAACAUCUAAACAAGGAGUGUUAAGAUCAUGUGUUUAAGAUUGCUGCCAUUUAAUUUUUUCUGUUACUAAAUUUGAAUAAUUCUCCUUGACUUUAGGAGAUUAGAUUUUUGAUUUGUUUGCUAUUUUGUUACCAAAUUUUUAGCAGUUUUUUAGAACCUUUUUUUCUAUUUUUAGCUUGAACUUUUGUAUUUAAAUAGUUGAGGUGCAAAUCAAUUAUUUAUUCAAGUCUUCAAUUAUUUUUCUAUUUAAAAACUUCCCGUCUCUUCUUUCUACUUCAAAUCUCUCGAUCAACCAUCAAAGUUCGAGUUCUAAACAUCAACAGUAUCUUUAAUUAUAUAGCAACAACUCUGAUAAGAUACAGAUAGAAACUUUUGUCUAUUAAAUAUAUAAAGUGACUAUGCAAUUGAUAAUCAUAUACAAUAAUCAACAUUUGACUAAACUUUGCAACCUAUACAAGUUUUUUUGGGAUUUCGACAAAAUAUAAACAUAAACCCCGAGAAGAUACGUAAAACAUUUACUCAUCCAUGGCAACUGACUGAAAAAAUUUGGGUUGUCAUCUUGCUCAUAAUCAUAUACAAGGUCAAUACCAAAUUCUAGCACAGAUAAAUCUGAAAGAACCCGAAGACUAAUAUGAUCACCAGCUUCUAAUUCAUCACCCCUAAAGUUCCAACAAGUCGUCCAGUAUAAGGUAUUCUUAGUUUCAGGAAUUCCCAUAAAAUGUUUGGAGUAGGUCCACUUUGUACCUUUGGUCUCGUUCACAAUUUCAAGGCAUGGUAAAAAUCCAUAUGUUUUAUCAUUCUUGGCAGAAAAAAUGAUAAUCGAAUUUAAGAAGCAACUUAUCUUUCGACUAGAUUUUGGGGGCACUGAUAUUGAAAUCUCAGUCUUGCCAGCUUGAUGGCCAAAGUAAUGACCAUGGUAAUCAAAUGGCAACGGAUCAAAUGUUGUAAUUAUACCGUAAUCAUAUAAUACCUGUAGCAUUGGGUUAGAGAAUGAGUUAUUAAAAAGUAUAUAGUAUAUAAAUAAUUUUAAAAACUUGGAACUUGUAAAGGGAACCUGUGGGGAAGCUACCACUUUUGAUUCUUCUAUAUAACUGCAAAGUUGCACUUUAACAUUUCCAUAAGAUUCCAAACUGGGCAAGUGUUUAGUUAGGUCCAUCUUGAUAUUUCUUGUGGAAACUUCAUCUCCUAAAAUAUGUACAAUAAUGUGUUAUUUAUCAAUUUUAGUGAUCAUCAACAUAAUAUACUUAUUAGAAAGUAAUAGUACUGACUUGAAUGGAGUGAUAAUUAAAGCUUUUAUCAGACACCUAUUUGACACGAAUUCAAAUAGUGACCCAUAUAUUGUAUGAAAAAAAGAUAUCAAAGUAGUAAUGUUAUUAUCACUAAAAUGUAUUCUAAGACUUAUCAGAAAUAAUCAGUUAUACACAUUAUAUCUUUAUUUUUCAUUUUUAUACAAAAUAUAAACUUUAAAACUAUUAAAUAUUUUAAUCAAAACACCACUUUUAUAAUUUUAUCCAUUAUUUUAGUUUCCACUUCUAUUAGAACUAUUGGAUUAAUCAUUUAUCAAACAAUUAACUUAUUUUCAUUAGACCCCAAUUGCAGUAUAACUUUAUAAUUAUCAUUUUAUUAUUAAGCUAAAUUUCUCUCAUAAUCUAUUAAAUUGUCACAUUUCUUGAUAAUUUUUUUUAUUGUAUUAGAAAGUCUUUUAGAGAAACAUUCAUCAUUUCUUGAACAUUUGUUAUUCACAUAGAAAAUGAAAAAUAAAAUAAAUAUAAUAGGAUGUAUUCACUAAAAUAUAAUUAUUUGAAGUCCACUCAUACCUGUAGAUAAGUGCGAAAAGCCAUAUUCAUAUCUAAUGUUGUGUUCUGAUUCAUAAGUAACGCCAAAUUUUCUUAUGCUGAGAUGAAUAGGCACUACCAUGCAACUCACAAGGUCACCACCUUCAAACUGACAGUCCGUUACUGGCCAAUGAAUCAACCACAACAUUGUGUUAUCGUUAGUCUCAGGAAUUCCAAUGAAACUUGAGCGAUAUCUCUGCAUGAUCAUUUUGGUCUCAUUGAAAAUGUGGACACUUGGUAGAAGCUCCAACAUUUGGUCACUAGCUACAGAGAAAACAAUGCAUAAGCUGAACUGAUGGAUCUUUUCAUCUGGAUGAGAUGGUGUUGGCAAAAAAAAAGAGAUUUGAUGCUCGUUAGUGCCAUGCUUAAACCCACUCGGAACUUCACUUCCUAUAAAAAAUGUGCUUGUUAUACCACAUUCUUGCAAGACCUGAUCCAAAAAAACAAGUUAGAUGAUUAAGUAGUGUAAGAGAAAAAAUAGAUUUAAAAUUUAAGUUGGAGAACUAUUGGACCUGUGGGGUAGCUAGCAUUAUGCUGUCUGUUAGGUAGCUAUAAAGUGGCAGUCGAUUUCUGUUAAUGGAAUCUACGUUGAAUAAUCUUCUAAUCUCUUCUGCUUCAAAGUUUUCAAUUGGUUCCAACUUGAAUAGAUCUUCAACCUCCGUCAAUUUUUCACAUCCAAAAAUAUCACAUCGUGUGGAAGAAAAGAAGCAUGGAAGAAUUGCCCCAUAUCCUUUAAAUGGAGAUACUGUCAAGAACUCAAAAACAUUGGGCAAGACUGGAAGCUUUGGAAUCUUUUGGAGUUCAGUGCAAGAAGUCAGUAGAAGCUCAUCAAGUUUUGUAAGGUUUUUUAAGCUUUCGGGUAGGUAAUGAAUUGGGUUUCUACUUAAAUUUAAGGAUUUCAAGGAAGCCAAGUUACAAAGAGCAUUGGGCAUGACAUCAUUAGAUAAUUUGCAACUUCCAAGGCUUAACUUUACCAAAGAGCCCGGUAGAGAUGCCCAAGAGAAACCCAAUCCUUUGCUUCUUUUCUGUAAAAGCCACUGCAACCCCAAUCUUGAUUGAUAUAUGGCAGUUUCAUCUAAAUUAAGCACCUUCAAUGAUUCCAUAUUAUGCAACUCCCUAGGAACAUCAUCAAGUCUUGAACAACCAGAUAAGAUAAGCUCUUCAAGUGAUAUUAAUGAACCAAUUGUCCUUGGAAGUUUCCUAAGACUUGUGCAAUCUUUAAGGUUCAAGAAAGUAAGCAUCUUUAGCUCACCAAUGGAUUGAUCAACUUCCACCAAAUUUAUGCAAUCUUUGAGCAUCAACUUCUCAAGGCUAGGGAGUCCUGAAAAGGUUGGGGUUUUAAGAAGGCUAUGUGAAUGGUUGAGAUUA